Molecule: ribosomal RNA, 372 nt
Filed under: Triticum aestivum (bread wheat)
Lineage: Eukaryota; Viridiplantae; Streptophyta; Magnoliopsida; Poales; Poaceae
Description: partial small subunit ribosomal RNA
Source: RNAcentral
AUGAGCAUCCUGGCGCACGCGACCGUCGGCGGGUUCUUGACGCACUGUGGCCGGAACUCGCUGAUCGAAGGGCUCCUAUUCGGGCACCUACUUGUCAUCCUGCCCAUCUUCAGCGACCAAGGGCCCAACGCGCGGCAAAUGGAAGCGAAGAAGGUAGGGUUGCAGGUGGCGAGGGACAAGGAUGACGGGUCCUUCGACUGCCAUGGCGUCGCGAGUGCCGUCCGGGCAGUCAUGGUUGAGGGAGAAGAAAGAAGGGGCUUCGUGGCAAACGCACUGAAGAUGCAAGCGGUCGUAGCGGAUAAGGCACUCCAGGAUAGCUACAUCAACGAGUUUGUACAACACCUCAGAUCUUACGGCGCUGCAGGGGCAGAC